RNAcentral lists this ribosomal RNA (1262 nucleotides) under Cuapetes americanus. Its description in RNAcentral is "SSU rRNA". It matches the Rfam family "Eukaryotic small subunit ribosomal RNA", at positions 607 to 1813 of the family's 1831-position model. The record is from RNAcentral. Lineage: Eukaryota; Metazoa; Arthropoda; Malacostraca; Decapoda; Palaemonidae.
AAGUUGUUGCGGUUAAAAGCUCGUAGUUCGAGCUCAGUUCCGGACUGGCCGGGGAGGUCACCGCCCGGUGCUUCCCCGUCAGGCUCCGAACAGCCUUCGUGAGCGGAGGCCAAGCCGGUUCUGCCGGGGUGCUCUUUACCGAGUGUCCCGCGCUGCCGGCCAGUUCACCUUGAAUAAAUGAGAGUGCUCAAAGCAGGCUCAUUAUAAAUACAAUGCCCGAAUGUUACCUGCAUGGAAUGAUGGAAGAUGAUCUCGGUUCCAUUUUAUUGGUGGUGGGAGCCCGAGGUAAUGAUAAACAGGGACUGUCGGGGGCAUCCGUACUACGACGCGAGAGGUGAAAUUCAGUGACCGUCGUAGGACGAACAACAGCGAAAGCAUUUGCCAAGAAUGUCUUCGUUGAUCAAGAACGAAAGUUAGAGGAUCGAAGGCGAUCAGAUACCGCCCUAGUUCUAACCCUAAACGAUGCUGACUAGCAAUUCGCCGUCGUUAUUCCCAUGACGUGGCGAGACGCCCCCGGGAAACCUUAAGUCUUUGAGUUCCGGGGGUAGUAUGGUUGCAAAACUGAAACUUAAAGGAAUUGACGGAAGGGCACCACCAGGAGUGGAGCCUGCGGCUUAAUUUGACUCAACACGGGAAACCUCACCAGGCCCGGACACCAGAAGGAUUGACAGAUUAAGAGCUCUUUCUCGAUUUGGUGGGUGGUGGUGCAUGGCCGUUCUUAGUUGGUGGAGUGAUUUGUCUGGUUAAUUCCGGUAACGAACGAGACUCUGGCCUACUAAAUAGUCGACGGGCGUUUUGGUGCAUGGGCCCCGUUCGACACAGUCUUCUUAGAGGGAUGAGCAGCGAGUAUAGCUGCAGGAGAUUGAGCAAUAACAGGUCUGUGAUGCCCUUAGAUGUCCUGGGCCGCACGCGCGCUACACUGAAUGGGUUAGCGGGUUGUCCUUCUCCGAGAGGAGCGGGAAAUCGCUUGAAAACCAUUCGUGAUAGGGAUUGGGGCUUGCAAUUGUUUCCCAUGAACGAGGAAUUCCCAGUAAGCACAAGUCAUCAGCUUGUGUUGAUUAAGUCCCUGCCCUUUGUACACACCGCCCGUCGCUACUACCGAUUGAAUGAUUUAGUGAGGCCUUCGGACUGGCGGUCUUGGACUGGGGCGCCGGCGUUCUCCAGCAAUGGGGUGCCGGUGACCCGCCUAGACGGGCCGGAAAGAUGUCCAAACUUGAUCAUUUAGAGGAAGUAAAAGUCGUAACAAGGUUUCCGUAGGUGAA